This 600-nucleotide ribosomal RNA is filed under the name Bacillus anthracis (anthrax bacterium). RNAcentral's name for it is "bacterial SSU rRNA". It matches the Rfam family "Bacterial small subunit ribosomal RNA", at positions 59 to 639 of the family's 1533-position model. Lineage: Bacteria; Bacillati; Bacillota; Bacilli; Caryophanales; Bacillaceae. The record is from RNAcentral.
CAGUCGAGCGAAUGGAUUAAGAGCUUGCUCUUAUGAAGUUAGCGGCGGACGGGUGAGUAACACGUGGGUAACCUGCCCAUAAGACUGGGAUAACUCCGGGAAACCGGGGCUAAUACCGGAUAACAUUUUGAACCGCAUGGUUCGAAAUUGAAAGGCGGCUUCGGCUGUCACUUAUGGAUGGACCCGCGUCGCAUUAGCUAGUUGGUGAGGUAACGGCUCACCAAGGCAACGAUGCGUAGCCGACCUGAGAGGGUGAUCGGCCACACUGGGACUGAGACACGGCCCAGACUCCUACGGGAGGCAGCAGUAGGGAAUCUUCCGCAAUGGACGAAAGUCUGACGGAGCAACGCCGCGUGAGUGAUGAAGGCUUUCGGGUCGUAAAACUCUGUUGUUAGGGAAGAACAAGUGCUAGUUGAAUAAGCUGGCACCUUGACGGUACCUAACCAGAAAGCCACGGCUAACUACGUGCCAGCAGCCGCGGUAAUACGUAGGUGGCAAGCGUUAUCCGGAAUUAUUGGGCGUAAAGCGCGCGCAGGUGGUUUCUUAAGUCUGAUGUGAAAGCCCACGGCUCAACCGUGGAGGGUCAUUGGAAACUGGGAG